RNAcentral lists this long non-coding RNA (485 nucleotides) under Mytilus galloprovincialis (Mediterranean mussel). The record is from RNAcentral. Lineage: Eukaryota; Metazoa; Mollusca; Bivalvia; Mytilida; Mytilidae.
ACCCCUUGUAAUCAUGGAGAAGCAGAUACACGAAUGUUUGUCCAUGUUCGGCUUGCUUCCUGUACGUGACAUAUCAAAUGUGUUUGGUCCUCGUGUAGCUACUCUUCCUUUCGUUCAUGCAUUCAGUGGAUGUGAUACUUUAUUGGAUUUUCGUGGGAAAGGGAAUAGGUCAGUUUGGAUGACAUGGGAAGUAUUUCCAGAUGUAAGGGACGUUUUUUUUUCUUCGCUGAAGUAUAAAGACACAUACAUGGACAUCAUAGAAGCAUUUGUCUGCAUCAUGUAUGACAGAACAACAUCAACAUUUGCUGUUAACGAGGCGCGAUGUAAAUUGUUACCCAGGAAGCAGCGGCAUCGUGAUGCAGUUCCGCCUACAAGAGUUUUUUCUCGGAGCACAUUCAAAGAAAAGCAUAUCAAGGAGGACAAGUUUGGGCUCAGCCUGAUUUAUGUAUUCGACAGGUACAUAUACCAAGUCAUGAACACUGGGG